UUGCAAGUCGUAGGCAUACGUAAAAUGCACAGUUAAAUAUAACUGGAAACAAUGAAAAGGCCUCUUAUGGCCAACUAGCUUUCGCUUAAAGAUAGCGAAGCGCUUUCUUAAUUCUUUCUCCCAUGAAGAUUUAUGAAGGCUCAAAUGAAAAUGGGAUAUAUUAUUUUCUUGCCUAAGGAAAAUAAAGAAUUUUAUAGGCUCACUAAUAAAUUAGUUGUUAGUUACUUUGUUUAUUAGGACACCACUUAACUAACUAAACUUGUAGAUGUUUUAAAGGAAGUAUAUUUGGACAGGAGUUCAACUCUCCUCGGCUCCACCA
RNAcentral lists this transfer-messenger RNA (319 nucleotides) under bovine gut metagenome. It matches the Rfam family "transfer-messenger RNA", at positions 43 to 374 of the family's 374-position model. Rfam says of the family: Bacterial tmRNA, also known as 10Sa RNA or SsrA, is named for its dual tRNA and mRNA-like properties. The record is from RNAcentral.